UCGGGAAUUUUGGGCAAUGGGCGAAAGCCUGACCCAGCAACGCCGCGUGAGGGAUGAAGUAUUUCGGUAUGUAAACCUCGAAAGAAUGGGAAGAAUAAAUGACGGUACCAUUUAUAAGCUCCGGCUAACUACGUGCCAGCAGCCGCGGUAAUACGUAGGGAGCAAGCGUUGUUCGGAUUUACUGGGCGUAAAGGGCGCGUAGGCGGCGCGGUAAGUCACUUGUGAAAUCUCUGAGCUUAACUCAGAACGGCCAAGUGAUACUGCUGUGCUAGAGUGCGGAAGAGGCAACCGGAAUUCUUGGUGUAGCGGUGAAAUGCGUAGAUAUCAAGAGGAACACCUGAUGCGAAGGCGGGUUGCUGGGCCGACACUGACGCUGAUGCGCGAAAGCCAGGGGAGCAAAC
RNAcentral lists this ribosomal RNA (401 nucleotides) under uncultured bacterium. Its description in RNAcentral is "bacterial SSU rRNA". It matches the Rfam family "Bacterial small subunit ribosomal RNA", at positions 355 to 773 of the family's 1533-position model. The record is from RNAcentral.